Molecule: long non-coding RNA, 42298 nt
Filed under: Vitis vinifera (wine grape)
Lineage: Eukaryota; Viridiplantae; Streptophyta; Magnoliopsida; Vitales; Vitaceae
Description: long non-coding RNA (VVIN_LNC003022)
Source: RNAcentral
ACAUCAAUGUAUACAAGGCUGCUAAGGUUUAGAAGCCAUAUUGGGAACUUUGACCGGAAAGAGUUGCCACUGAUGCUUAUGACAGACAAUGAAGUAAAAUUGAUAGAGUUUAGAGAUGAAAUUGAACCAAAGAGCCCACAAUCUUCUAGGUGCAACUCUAUUAAAAAUGAAAGGUUGUUGAAUACCUCCAUCCAGUGAGAUCCUACCAUUGACAGGUUGACAUAGUUCAACUUGAGAUGCCUUAAGGAAACAAGAUUAGUCAUCCAUUCAAGGUCCUUAACAAAUAACUGAGAUUCAUUGGAAGAAAGAUCAAGAAAUUGCAAAUUAGAAAUGUUUCCCAAGGUUAGAGGAAUUGCACCUCUGAAUCCACAAUUUGAUAAGUUUAGAUAUUGUAAAUUUUUCAAAGAUCCGAAGAAUUUAGGAAUUGGAAUAUGCUCAAAUGAGUUGCCACUCAAAUCUAAAGAUCUCAAAGAUUUGAGUUCUAUCAAAGAAGGUCGGAUUUCCCCGUUUAAGUUCAUUGAGCUCUAAUUUUCAUAUGCUUCUUCAAGAGAAUAUGGGUUAUGAAGAUUGAUAGAAAUAACAACUCUUGUGUUCUUUUUCACAACCAAUUCCCUCCCAUUGACAACAAUUGCCUCCUAUCCAUGAUGAAAGCCAAUUGCUAGAAGAAUCUUUGAGACCAUUUUUUAAGUCAAGAAGAGCUUCUCGAUCAGCUUUUAAGCAAUUUCCCUUCAGGAUUUCACCUUUACAAGCAAGAUCUCUUGUUAUGAAACAUAGAAUGACCAAAAGGAAACCAAAUUUUGAAAUUUUCUCCAUUUAAGAACACUUAUAAAAACAAGUAAUUAAUGUUAAGUUCCGACAAAAGAAUCAAAAUAACGAUGAAAUUCUAUUAGUAAUAAGAACAUCAAGAUAUUGGAUAAUAAAUAAUACAUUUAUUGUAAUCAAUCGUAAGUUUAAUAAGAUUAAAGAUAUGUCAAGUAAGCAACAUCCUUGAACACAUAUCAAGAAAAAAUAAUUGUGACCUUCUCACCAAUAUCAAAUAUGCUCGGAUAAUUGUUAUCGAUCAAAACUAUAGAAAUCACCGGCCCACAAGAGAAACUUAGAAGCAUUAGAUAAAGGAAAACACUAGGGGAAACUUGGCAUUAUUGGUGGAGUAAGAUCUUACCUAUUAUCUCUUUUUUGUAGUUGUACUCAUUCCUUUGGUUACAAGGGAAUAUUUAUAUAUGAAAGAUUAUUCAAGAACUAUGGGCUUUUAAUUAAAGAAAAGUAAUCCACACGUCAUGAAUUAGUGCAUGACCUAUGAUGAUGAAGCAAGUAUACAAGUCAUGUUUGAAAAAUUAUAAAUAAUAAUAAUAAUGAAUAACACAUCAACAAGUUUUUUCGCAUACCAUUUAAUAAUAUAUGAAAUUUCUUAGACAUUGUAUUUUAGUAAGAAUGUUUCUAACAUUUUUUCUUUCUUUAUUUUAACAUCAGCAAAGCAAUGCACGAGUAAAUAAUUCCAUAUUUAGUAUAAAAUUUAUUUCAUGAAUAGGGCUUUAUCAUCAAUUUAGAAGACAAAAAGGAUAUUACAUGAGAAAAUAUUUCUUCACAAAUUAUGAGAUUUAACUACUAAAUUGAAAGUUUUAUAUACAUCUAUCUUAAUCAUUAAAUACAACUUAAUACCAAGGAAUUAUAAUAUUUUGGAAUUACAAUAAACUUAUUUUUAUAAUAGAGUAAAAAAGAAAUUGACAAAUUCUCUUGAUAAACUUAGUUAAAUAAGUAGUGAGAAUAUUGUUGUCCACACACAUAUAUAUAGAUUACGAUAAAAAUAUUUAUUAAUUUCAAAUUUAGAUAAUAGAUUUCAAACCACUUUGCAUGUUGGAUUAUUAGUCUUAUAGAAUUAAAUAUAAGACUUUUUAUGCACAAUUUUGAAGCAUAUAUUCAUUCAAGUCAAAAGAUAUAAGUAUUUUAUUAGAGUAGGUGGUGAUCUAAUUUAAACUAUAUCAACAAAUUCUUUGCAAGUCAAAAAGCAGCAAGUAUUUGAAUAAAGUAGAUUAGAAUAAAAUUUAAACUAAUUCAUAAGACUUUGACCAUAGUGUAAUUGUCUUCUUAAAAUAGUUUUAAUAAAGUAGAUGGUCACAGUCAUGUUAGAUUGGCUAAAGAAGGUGCUUCUUUUUUUAGUCUAUUGUUCAUGCUAUGAUGUUCAUACCUCUUGCUCUUUAUAAUUUUAAUUUGAUGUAUUAAGUGUUCGGAAAGAAUUCUCAAUGUAUCAUACUAUCACAUCAGAUGAUAUCAAAUCCCUUAAUUCAAGCUUCUCCAAAUAUAUUUACAUAAAUCAUGGUUACCAUGUAUAUAAAGAUAUAUCCUAUGAUGCAUAUUUUUAUUUCUAUUUCUUGAUUUUUCCCAUUUACAUUCAUCAAUUUCAUUGAAUCUUUAAUAAAGUUGGAAACAUAACUUUUUGGAAGGAGGUAUUAAGUUUUCUAGGAAAUUUACAUCAUCCUUUUGUGGAGUCCGACCAAUUUAAAGGUACUUCAAACAAGUAAAAGCUUCCCAUGUGCCCAAUGAUACAAUUUCCCCCAAGUGGGGUUUCCAUGAAUGUAAAUUUUCUAGGAAAUUGACUAGUCAUAAAAAUUGACAAACAUGCAAAAGUUUCCCAUAUGCUCAAUGAUACAAUUUUCCCCAAGUGGGGUUUCCAUAGAUGUAAAUUUUCUAGGAAAUUGACUAGUCAUGAAAAUUGACAAACAUGCAAAAGUUUCCCAUAUGCUCAAUGAUACAAUUUUCCCCAAGCAGGGUUUCCAUGGAUGUAAAUUUUCUAAGAAAUUAACUAGUCGUGAAAAUUGACAAAUAAGCAAAAGUUUUCCAUGUGCUCAAUGAUACAAUUUUCCCCAAGUGGGGUUUCCAUGGACGUAUAUUUUCUAGGAAAUUGACUAGUCAUACAAAUUGACAAACAAGUAAAAGUUUCCCAUGUGCUCAAUGAUACAAUUUUCCCCAAGUGGGGUUUCCAUGGAUGUAAAUUUUCUAGGAAAUUGACUUAGUCAGAAAAAUUGAUAAGCCAUGGUGAAAAUUCCUUAGAUAUGAUGGGAUAAUGGUAUGUAUCCCUCAAUCAUGUCAGGUUCUUGGAAUAAUGUGGAACCUAGCGCAAUCCAACCAAUGCAAUACUUAUGUUCGGCUAGAAAAAAGUAAGAAAAAAUUACUAAGGAAAAUAAAUAGAAAAAAUAAUUAAAUUUUUUUUCUAUUUUCCAAAGGGUGGAGAAAAUGCAUUUAUUAUGAUUUUUUUUUCUUCAAAUUUCUCAUUGACAAUCAAAUAGGAACAAAAUUUUAUAUUUUUAUAUAUUUUUUUUAUGGUAUCCAAAUAUAAGAAAAUAUACUUUUUUAGAGUAUAUUUAGUUCCUAAAACAUUCCAAGAAAUGGAAAAAUAAGAAAAAUUAUGUUUUUCAUGUUUGAAUACCUUAGAGAAGAUUGAAGGAAAAAAUAUGGUAAAAUGCUAAAAGAAUUUCCUCCCUAUUUUAGAUGAAAAAGUAAAGACACUUUGAGGAUAGUGUGUUUUUAUUAAUGUGUUUGAAGGGUGUUUUUGUGUCCAUUUCCAUCUUUUCCUACUUUUUUCCAUUUCCAUGCAUUUCACCAAAUCCUUGGUAAACUCAGAAACUUAAACUUUAUGGGAGUUAGAAAUGAGAUUUCCAGGAAAUUUACGUAGUCCAUUUGUUAGAAAUUUUGUCUUCUCCUUUUUCCAAAGUUGACUAAUUCAAAGGUCCUUCCCAUGUGUUUGCAUACAAAUUUUUCCAAGUGGGAAGGGAUUUCAUGGAUUUCAAUUUUCCAAGAAAAUUGACCUGCUAUGGAAAAUUCCUCAAAUUUGAUGGAAAGUCUUUUGCAUGGCCCAAUAAGCACUUUCCUCUCAAUUUGUAGGACUUUUUUUGCCUUCUCUCAUCUCUCAUGUUUAUAUAUAUAUAUAUAUAUAUAUAUAUAUAUGAAUGAAUAUAAGGUAACUAACCCAUCUGACAAAUCCUCUAAAUAAUCACAAAACCCCAAAGAAAAAUCCAAUAGAAAAGGAGAAAAAGAAAAGAAAAAAACCUAAGUGUUGGAGACAGAGGAAAAAAAUUCAUAAGUAUAUUUUUAAAUUAAAAUAACUAUAUUAUUAUUAUUAUUAUCAUUAUUAUUAUUUUAAAAACAUCAUAAAUAUAUUUUAUUCAUAUUAAUAUUUAUAAUAUUCAUCUUCCUUUUAUUUUUUCUUUUGUAGAUGAAGUAAGAUCUCCAAAAAAAGAAAAAAAAAGAAAGUGCUAGUAGUUUAUAUGAAAAUCAAAAUGAAAGUGUUAGUAUAACUUUUGAAAAUUGGAAAAUUGUAAAUAUAGAGGUAGAGUCAGAUAAUGAGAUAGAAUUUGCAAACAUUAUCACAAGAUAUUUUGUUGAACAUCAAAAUAAUAGAAAAACUAUAUAGAAAUUCCGAGCUAGUUAAUAUAAUUUUAUAAGAAUUUAGUAAUCCAACGUUACUAGAAGAAUAGAUAGAUCAAGAAAACUUUGUUGAUAUAAUGUGUAAAAUCUAUAUAUACGAACAAAUAAUUGAAUAACUUUACAAAACCAAUUUGAUUAAAAAAACUCGUAAAUAUAGAAACAAUAAACCCAUUUACUAUUCAACCAAAAAUUAAAGGAAAACAGAGAUAAUUACAAAUGAGUUAGUAAAUGCAAUAGAAGAAGAAAAUAAAAUAGAAUUUGUAAAUGUAAAAAUUGAAAUAGUAAGGUAUAUGAAAUCGUAAAGCAAGCCAAAAAAAAUUAAAUUAAAAAUAGUAAUACAUUUGGCUUAUGAAACUUUGUAUAGAGAAAAAAAACAAAGUUAAAUAAUAAUUUUAAAAAACUAAAAUUCUUUGUGGCUUGAGAAAGUUUUAUUAAUCAUUUGUUUUCAAAGGCAAAAUGAAAAACCAAAAAACAAUUAAAAUCAUAGUAAAAUGAAUAGAAAUAAUAGAAUGUAUGAAAGGAAAUAUUAAAAUAUUAACAAUUAGAUUAUAGUUUUUAUAUAUAUUCUAAAAUAUAUAAUUAGUUUUUAUUUUUUAUAUUUUAGUUUGAAUUGAGAUGAUAUUUGAAAAUUGUUUAUUAUUAUUAUUAUUAUUUUAUGCUAAUAUUACUUUUUCUUUUCUUUUUAGAUAUUUUCAACAAAUGAUUCGAUUCAAUUUUAUUUGUGUUUUAGUUUUAUUCUUGAGAAAGUUAUUUUUACUCAUAUGAUUAAAAGAAUUUAUUGAAUUGUAAUUUUAAAAAAUCAAUUUGAUUUUAUUUACAAGAAAAUUGUUUUUUUAUUUAUUUUUUUCUAGAAAAAUAAUGAUUUUUAUAACUUUUUUAUGAAGGUAUUUCAAUUUAAUUUUUAUUUUUACAAGUUAUUUAGAAAAAUAAUUUUUAUAAAUUGAUCAACAACUAUAUUUAAAUUAAAUUUUAUUUGCAAGAAAAUUGAUUUUUAUUAUUUUUAUAUAAAACAAGACUUGUACAUUUUAUUUACAAAAAUAUCAAAAUUGGAUCCAAAUUUAUCAGUAAAAAUAAUUUUUAAUACUAAAAAUGGCUUUUUUUACAAUUUUAUUUACAAGAUAUACUUCAAUCCCUUUUUUAUUUACCAAAAAUGAUUUGUUUUAUAUAAAACAAGACUUUUACAUUUUAUUUACAAAAAUAUCAAAAUUGGAUCCAAAUUUAUCAGUAAAAAUAAUUUUUAAUACUAAAAAUGACUUUUUUUUUUACAAUUUUAUUUACAAAAUGCACUUCAAUCCCUUUUUUAUUUACCAAAAAUGAUUUGUUUUAUAUAAAACAAGACUUUUAUGUUUUAUUUACAAAAAUAUCAAAAUUGGAUCCAAAUUUAUCAGUAAAAAUAAUUUUCAAUACUAAAAAUGCCUUUUUUCUUUUUUUUUUUUACAAUUUUAUUUACAAAAUGUACUUCAAUCCCUUUUUUAUUUACCAAAAAUGAUUUUUUUUAUUAUUUGAUUUUUAAAAAAUAUCUUUAUUUGGUUUGAGCUAAGUUUUUUCCAUUUUAUUAUAAGAAGUUUGAAAAUUACUUCAAUUUUAUGAAAAUAAUUUCAACUUUAUUAUUUAAAAAAAGUUUCAAAUUUAUUAAAAAAAAAUUGAAAAUAUUUUUAUCCUUUUAAAGAAGAGAUUUCCAUAACUUUAUCCACAAAAGUAUUCUAAUAUAUUUUUACUUAAAAAAGAAUUUUAUUCCAAUAGGAUUUUAAAAAUAGUUUUUUAUACUUUUAUUAAAAAACGGUUUUUCCAAUUUUAUUUAGAAGAAAAAAAAUUCAGAAAAUAGUUUUUAUUAAUAUAAAAUUAAAAUUUUUCUUUUAACAAAAAUGGUUUCGAACAAUAGUUUUUAUUAAUAUAAAAAUAUAAAUCUUAUCUUUUAUCAAAAGCUGUCUUCCUCGUGGGGCUGUCUUUUCGGUCAAUCUAGCCAUCUCCCAAUCAACCCAUGCAAACAAAGGUCCAGACCAAUAAAAAUCAAUAUGCCAAGUAACAUUCAGCAAAGCCCAAUCAUAUAAAGCCCAAAUGAAUAUAAACUAAUCAAGCCUAAACUCAAUGAAUGAAGCUUAAAGCCCACAUGAACAAAUUUAGGCCCAAAAAUAGUCACAACUUAAUGUCUUGAGAGCCCACCAAUAAAACCCAAUGGUCAAAAUAUCAAUUGUGAAGAUCAAAGGACGGCUUUACUUCACUUUUAAAUUUUGUUUAAAAAAUAUUUAUAUUUUUAUUGUAUAUAUUAAAUAGAUCUCAAAUACAUAUCAUAGAGAGUAGUUUUCAUAAAAAUAUUUAGAGUGAGGGGUUCUUUGUUUGUUUGUUUUAUUUUUACUUAAGUCUUAAAACAAGUUACUUUAUUUAGAACUACUUUUUUAAUUUAUCACAUUUUUUAAGACAAUUUUAUUUAUUUAUUUAUUAUUCUCUUAUAUUACUUUUGAUCGAUAAGAUAGGAUAAGAUAUAUAUAUAUAUAUAUAUUUCAUGUCCCAGAAUAUGAAAUAAUAAAAUAAGAAUAACCUACAAAUAAUAAAAUAAGAAUUAACUAAAUUUUUUUCUUGGGUCAAGUUUUUUACUUUAAGCUUUUCAUUUCAGGCAGUUUUUGUUUUAAACUUUACUUUUAGACUAAAUUUGAUAUUUUUAUAAUAUUUAUAAUGUAUUUAUGUUAUAUUCAUUUUCUUUUCAUGUAUAUAUUUUCUUAAAUAUUGAAUUAUAUUAUUUCAUAUACUUUUUCAUUUUUUUAGAAAUAUGUACAAAUUUAUUUUUACUUUUUUAUUGCUAUAUUGAAACUUUUUUUUAAUUUACUAAUUAAUUUUUCAUAUAAAUAUAUUAAAAAAAAAUUAAACAUUAUAGAUGGAUUUUGAAUUAUGCAAUUCCAUCAACUUGUUUAUAUAUAUGAAUAUAAGGUAGCAAACCAGUCAAAUAAAUCCUCUACACAAUCACAAACCCCAGAGAAAAUCCAACAAAAAUAAAGAAGAAAUAAACCUAGCUAAGUGUCGGAGACAAAGGAAAAAAAAAUAAAUCAUAAGUAUAUUUCAAAUUAAAAGAACUAUUAAUAUUAUUAAUAUUUCUAUUUUGAAGAGAAUCGUAUUAUUUUUUAAUGGGAAGAGUUUUUAUUAUUAUUAUUAUUAUGAUUUUGAUACAAAAAGGGAGAGUAAGGUUGCAAUUUUCAUUUUCUAAAAACAAUUUUUAUUUUUAUUUUUAUUUUUUCUUGAAAAUAAGCAUGAUUAAGAUAAAGGAAAAUUAUUAAUCAUGGUUCUCAGUAUAAAAAGAAAAUCCAAAAGAAAAUAAAGUUAAAAUUGUAAUAAAAUGAAUAAUUUCUCAAAGAAAAUAUUAAAUAUUACCAAUUAUAUAAUAUUUUAUAUAUUCUGAAAUAUAAAAUAAUUUUUUAUUUUGGUUUGAAUCAAGAUGACAUUUGAAAAUUUUUUAUUAUUUCAAAUUUUUUGUUGUUAACUAUUAUAUUUCUAGUUUUACCCUUGGGUGAAGAGAAAAAGGGCGGGGUUCCUUGGCCUAGAAAACCCUUGCAAGAUUUUGACCUAGGUUGGGUUUCAAAAUUGGGCCUUCAUGCAUGAUUCAGCACAGAAGGUUUUGGGCUCACAGAUGAUGCGGGUGUAAGAUAAAUCAUAAUUAAUGGAUGUGUAGACCCCAUUCUGGGCUUGCUUUUAUGCAGCCAUUUUUGACAGGUGUAGCCAUCUAGGGUGGCCACGUGUCAAUCUCUGGUUGGCUGUUAGGGGCACCGGAGUAGUGUUUUUUAUGGCCAACCAGAGGUCGACACGUGUCCAAAGAAUCUGCAAAAAAUGCUGCAGACAGUCAGAGGAGCAGGGUUGCCAGCUGCUUGGUCUCGCUUUUCCUGGCCGUUGGGGGAUAUUCUGGAGGGGGUGCUUUUUCCAUUGUGGAGGGGAGGUCUCCAGAGGGGUUUUUCUUUCAGGUGGAGGAGAUAUUUUGAUUCAGAGAUGCCGUUAGGAUUUUUUGGAGAGAUGGAGGUUUUUCUUGGGAGCCAGAGGAGAUAUGUUGGGGGUGUUUCUUUCUGGCAGUGGGAGAGGAAGAAAAAGCUAGAGAAAGAGCUUGAGCUGAGAAGAAGGGAGAGAGAAAGUUAGUGCGGAGGGAGAGAAUUCCAUUGACGACUGUGGGAAAUUGUGGAGAGCUUUUGGAAGUUGCUUGGACAGGAGGGGAAGUUCACUGAGAAAGCUAAAAUUUGAUUCUCGUUGAUUAAGGAACCAGGUAUAUACACAGUUUUUCCCUCGUCUCUCGUUAUUCAUUGAUUUUCCUUAACAUAAUGCUGUUUGGGGUGGAUGUUGAAGGCCACUGAUUUGUUUGUUGAUAUAUAUGCCUGCAUUUGUGUGGUUACGAAAUGCUUGAGAAUCAUAAGGGUGGUUACAUUUGAUAUGGUUUACCCACCUACACAGAAUGAUUCAUGAAGUGGAUUUUCUGAGAUUUUUCUUUAUUUAUUCAUCUUCUUUUACACUCUGUUUCUCUACUUCCCCUGUUUCCUGGUAAGUUUUCCUAUCUCUGCUUGAAGAAGUAAGAUACUGCAAGAGAUAUGUUCUCAAGCCAUGGAUAUGGGAAGUUGUAAUGCGUUUAUUGUAGCCGGGUGAUUUUAUGCGCAUAUUUAGUGGUUUAUGAGAAAAAUCGGAUGAAGAAGCCGCAAAGGGUCAGAGCUCAUGAGGAUAGAGCAUGAAAACGGGAUGUAAAGGAGGUUUAACAAUCGAUUGUCAACUCACGACCCCUGACAAUGCUACUGCUAUUUCUCAUAUUGGUUUGGUUAUUGCAAGUAGUAGCAUGUAUAGGAGGAACAGACAAUUGUGGGGGAAGGAUUUCUCGGGAUAGAAGGUUUUUCUAUACGUCAAGAUCAUGAAGUUUUGGGUCCUGAUGCGUAAAUUGGUGUGUUUGGGUCUAAGCUACAAGCGAAACAUUGGAGAACGAUAUAGCGUCAUUGGUGGAUAGGAUAUUUGAGCUCGACAAGGAUUCUGGAGUGAUAAUGGUUGCUUGUAUAAAUUCGUAGGUUGAAACACUCCCUAAGGACCCUGUGAUCUGCAAUUGCUGAGAUCUCCGCGAUGCAGGAAAUCAGAUAUUUGCGCCAUGUGUCUCAGAUGGAAAUACACAUAAGCAUCAGCGCGAGGGACUUAUAAUGGUCACGAUGCAUGAAACUGAUUUAGAUGCUUUCAAAUGGGCAUAAUUUUUGGGUAUAGUCAGAAUGAUUCUAUGGACGAGGCUCCAUGCUUGUUCCAGGCAAUGUCUCUUGAUGUUGGGUUGUUGAAAGCCAUGCUUGUGACUAAUGAAUGCUAUCCAAAACCGCCAUACCCAUCAAGCUCACAUAACUCUUCUUCACGCCCAUGUUCAUGCUUUUCUGCAGUGGCCCAAACCACCUUGUUCAUCCCACCACCUUUUCUCUCUCUAGUUUUUCAUACCCAUUUCUUGAUACCCACUUCAUUCAUCCAUCUCUCCUUUCCACCAUACCCUUCACAACCGGUUUCUAGACCCAUUAAUACCCUCACAUGCCUACCACUGCCCUUAUCUCUCUAUACCACAUGCCGUUCAUUGCUCACGGUUCCCCCAUUGGCCUCCAUCAUCUCAUGCUAUCAAUCCCACGCCUAUGUCCUCCUACAUCAUCCACAACCGUGUUCCAAUGCUACUAUAAAACCCAUUCUUCUCUCAACCUUUCACUUACUUCGUACCCACCAAGCCCCCAAGACCCACUUCGCACUUCACUCAUGGCUGCGCCUCAUGCUGAUCCCGUGCGUACAACCGACUUCAUGACUACUCCUCCCAAUUCAACGUUUCCAGGUGCAAUGUUACAGGGUUUCAACAUUUACCAGGGAAAACACCUAUGUGUGCAGCCUGCAUGUGUGCUCACUAAUGAAUAUGCUGGCCGGCACAAGACAUGCAAAAGCCGAGCCUAUGAUAGAAAAUGGGGUUUAAAAGAUCUGUAAGGAUUCAUGGUUCAAAUGAGGGUUCUAAAUCAGAUUGAGUCCCAUUGGGUGACGCGUCAAUAUCUUCUUGGUACUAGAGAAGAUGAAAGAGAAGGUGCAUAUGUAGUGUUCACAAUUCUCUAUCAGCCAUGGACACUAGCAGAGAAUAAUGAUGAUAUUCUCAUUAUUGAGAUUGCUAAAACGAACAAGAAUGUUGUUCAUGACGUCAUUCACGUUGGCGGGUCCGCUAUCGUUCCCAUUAUGCAAUAGCUAGCUAUUGUAAGAUCCCGACUGUCCAUCCCACCACUAGGGUGAAAGCACGGCGACGACCCUACUUAGAGAUUCCGUUGAUGCUAAAGGGUUAAAGCAGUUUAAGGAUGAGAUGAUCCGAAUGAAGAUGAUGAUGAACGGGCUGGUGAAUUGCAGGAGCAUGCAGAAAUGGUUAAUGUAGAGAGGUCAAGUUUUCACCUGCAUGAAUUCCCGUUCCUGUCUUGAGAUGAAUGCCUACAAAAUGGGUUGUAGACAUCAAUGACGUAAAUUGUGGUGAAGUCCAUACCCUGGACAUUCUUGGUGAGCUCUCUGCUUUUAAGAUACCUGCCAAGUGAGAUAAAUUAUGGUGCCUACAAGGAAGUUCCGGAUGCUGAAUCCCCCCAGAAUGAAUUCCCGAUAGUUCCACUGCUGUUUGCAUAUAGCGCGCUGCUCUCUUCACAAUCCUUACAUGCGGAAGACAUCAUUAUCGGUUUUUUUUUAUAAGGGAAUAUUCUGUAGAGCAUGCACUUGAGAAUGCUUGCAGCCGCACCUUACAUUAUUGCAACCCAGAUCCUCUUUACUGAAUAAUAUACACCGAGGACGAGUUCUACGAUGUGGAGAGGUCAAACCCAGUUUAUAAAUAUGCUUUUGUUAUGAAUGAAGAAGAGAUGUAUUAUACUUACGAGCUUGUUAAUAGCUCUGUUACUUUGAGGCUGGUUUUAAAUCCACAUGGAUGUGUGCGGUGUUUCAUAUGGAUUGAUCGAACACGUGGGUGGAUCAUUUAUUCAUUUGCACAGAAGGACGACUAUGACAGUCAUGUUCUGUGUGGUGCAUAUGGCAGCUGCAACAUUAACCAUCCCCGAAAAUGUACAUGUAUGGAAGGAUUUGUGCCAAAGUUCCUCAAAGAAUGGAACAUGGUGGGUUGGUCAAAUGGAUGUGUUCGGAGCACUCCACUGGAUUGUCACAAGGAUGAGAGGUCGUCGCUUGGUUCUUCUCUGUGGAGCCGCGACGCUCAACACUAUAUUACUAGUGCAGUUGCAGCGGAGGUAGAUGCUUCCGUGACCUCAACUGCAUCUAAACCUGAGCAUGAGCUUCCAAUAUUUGAAGUCCUUCAAGUGGACUUAGACGAGUAAAUGGACAAGGAUUCCCGAGUAUGCAUGCUGGGUGAAGACGUGGGUCACUAUGGAGGUUCCUACAAGGAGACAAAAGGGCAUGGCUACAAAAUAUGGGAUCCCAAGGGCUAGUAGGGUCCACAACAUCAUGGUCUGAUUUGGUGACCUAUACAGCUUCAAACCGCACCUCUAGGGCAGGUAUUGCAUGGCCACCUUUUGGACAUGCUACUUUGGCCACGAGCUUUUCCUAUGUGUCUUCACUUCAUCUAUUCUAAACAUAAUUUCUAGCACUCUCAUUCCUCCAAACAAUUUAUUUAUUUUUUUUAAAUCCCAUUUUAUAAAUAAUUUUUCACAUUUCAAUUUUCAAAUAAAUUUCAACUCUUUUCCUCUUCAUCUUUAGGGACUCUUUAGAUUUCAAAGUCUCAUUUUCAAAUAAAUUUUUGCUGCCACCUCUCUUCGGCAUGCAACUUUCAAGACUUCCCUGAUUUUAAAAUGUUUUAAAAUAAGCAAGAAUAAAAUUCCGUAAUUCUAAGCAAAGGAAUUUAUGGAAUUAAUUCAUGCAAAAAUGAAUCGGACUAUGGUGGAGGCCCCACAUAUGAGUUUUCAUGACUAAUUGACUGUUUGAUUGAUUUAUCUGUCAUGUGUGAUUGAUUUAUUCUGUUCCUUGAUAUACAUAUAAUCAUUCUGUGUUCAUUCACUAACCCCGCUUUUGAUAAUGCAUUACAGCUCGUGGCCCAAGUAUGCACUCUCUAUACCUAUUCUGAUUUUCAUAUGUGCAAGUUUGAUUUGAGUAUCCACUAAUUUUCUCAUUGAUUGCCACGUUAACUUCAAUCUAUUAGUAGAGACCCGACUCUAGGGACUUAGAGGGGUGCUACGGUUUAUACCGUACCUUCCCGAUAAGUAACUUGACCCCCGAACCCAAUCUGGUUUUUCACAGACCACCUUUUCCAAAAAUCAGGAGUUGUACUUAAGGUUUUCUUUCUUAUUUUGUUUACCCUUUAAAAUAAAACAAAAAUAAGUGGCGAAUCUAAGUCAGUUUUUUUUUUAAUUAAUAAAAAAUCAUUUUUUUUUCAAAAUAAAAAAUCAAGCUGGCCAUUCGAGUGGGAAACGCAUUGAGCAUGAAAUGCGGGGUCCACAGUAUGAUUAUUGAUUUUUUUUUUUUUUAAGCAAGUUCAAAAUCAUUGAAUUGGAUAGAAAUUUGCUAGCCCCGUUUGGAUUAAAAGAAAAUGCUAGGAAAAAUAAAAGUUGAGAAAUAAAUUUAAAAUUUUAAAUUGAUUUUUUCAUGAAAAAUGUGAAGAAAAAUAAUAAAAUAUAAUGGAAAAUACCAUAAAAUAUUUCAAAAUUUUCAAAGUCUUCUUUCCAUUUUAUAAAAGAGAUAAAUAAAUUUGGAGAUUUAUUUUAUAGCUCUAAAUGUAAAAAGGGAAUAGAGGUGUUGAAAUGGUAAUCAAUAAAAACUUACAAAAGUUUUCAAUAAAGUAAUUUUUUCCUUAUCACUAACUUUAAAAAAAUAAUAAGAAGAAAUAUUGAAUAAAUAUUUGGAAUAUAUAUAUAUAUCCAAUUUUAAAGGUUUAUUUUCAAGUUUGAUAAAUAUAUUUUCAAAGUUUUGCUGCUUUUAAUAUUUAAUUUCUUUAGUAAUAAGCAAUUUUUCUGAGAAGAAUUGUACAAAGCAAGAAUAAAAAUAUAAAAAAUUUACAAAAUAUUGGUAGUUAGAUUUUAUGAAGAUAUCCAAAAAUAUUAUAUAAAAAUUCCUAAAAAAUUAUGCUGUGAUCAAAAUUGGCCACAACCCAUAACAAGAAAGGAAAAUCCUCAAUUUUAUUUUCAAUCCUAAACUUCAAAUACUCAAAUCCAAUUUUUCAUAGAAAAUUGAACUAAAUAUAUUUUUGGAAAUUUUAAUUAACUCUUGUUUUAGAAACUAGUUAAACUACCUUCAUGUAGUACAAUUUAAAUAAAAAAAAUGAAUUUACCAUAAAUUAAUGAAAUUAUCAUUCUCAAAAAUUUAAUAUGACUAAAAUAAAUUUUGUUUUUAUCUAUUUUCUCUCUUUUUUUCAAAAAAAUUUAGAUCUAAAACUUUCCCAUGAAAUGAUAACUCAAAACCCACACCAACAAUAUAAAAGUGGAAUCAAUACAUAUAAAAUAAAUCCACAAAUUUCAAAAUCAUAAAACUUAAAUUUCAAGUUUUUUAAUAAGUCCAAUUUAACAAAAUAUAAGUUUAAUAUAAAAUUUCAUCACAAAAUCCAUAAAAACAAACUUCUUAGAUUUUUACAUUUAAGUUUUAGUUCCAAAUUCUACCAAGGCAUAAGUACUUAUAUGUGUUGUUGAUAUAAAUGUCUCUUUGUGGCAUCUCCAAAGUUCCAACUUUUCAUGUUCGUCAUUAUCUCUUCCUCGCCUAAAAAAACCCUAAUAAAUUAAUUAAAAUUUUUUUAUUCACUAAUUACCAUCAUUUUCAUUGUCAAUAUCAAAACCAUCGAAAUGGAAAUUCUCCGAUAUUCAUUAUAAGAAUAAAUUUAUUUAACUUCCACUUUGGCCUUUGACAACAUGAAUAUAGCUUUCAUGUAGGAUUAUCUUUACUCUUUCUCCUAAUAUGAUCAAUUUCUAACCGUUUUGUAUAUAUUUCCUUUAACAAAAUACUUUUGCUAAAAAUUAUGAAAAAUAGCUAAAAGUGUAAAUAUCAUUUUAUCAAGCAUUGGAUGAUGUAUCGUAUAUGUUUCAUAAGAUACACUUAAAAUAAGAUAGGGGUUGCUAAACGCCUCGUAUCAUGUAUCCUAAGUUUUUAACAACUAUGAUCUAGAUAAAGUUUGAUCCAUAUGCUGAAUGGUGAAGUCAAUGUAAAUAUAACAAAGACAAGAACAUUGAUGCCAAAGGUGACCUCUGAAAUGAAAUACUCACGGGUGGAUAGCAUCAGGAGCACGCCUUGAGCUACUCAGACCAUAUGCAAGAAGAGCCUACAUUGUGAAUAUGUAUUAGUUUCUCUGCGUUCAAUAACUACAAAAUCAACACAAAUGUAAAACAAGAGUAAAAGAUAAGAAUGUCAGGAAGAUGAACAAUCAGACUAACAGGAGUACCUGAUUUGCAAAAUCUGCGGCUGAGUGCACAACUUCAGCCAACAUAACAUGGCUAGAGGUUGUUAACCAGACCCCAAACUUGAGAGAAAAGACGAGGAAGUUACACCAUAAUGCAGUUCUGACUGCUCGUUGGCUAGAAUAAACAUGUUAGGCAGAAACAAAAGAAAACAAAAAAGGUCAGAUGGUGAAAAGUGGGAGCUAAAUUUCUGGUCCCUAAUUGCAAAAAAGGCUCAAAAUUCUUGAUAGGUUUGGAUUCAGUGCAGUUCAUUAAUAUGCAGCUAGGAUUGACGUCAUCCACAAUCACUCCACAUCCUAAGAAAGUGAUCACCCAUAAAAUCACACUAGAGGAGAGAAUCAAGAAACAAAGGAAUCAAAAGAAUGAAAAGCUUUCUCUUUCAUGACUGCUUGCAUCAACUAGUUAAUUUACUCUUUUCUUGUAUUAAAUCAAAGAUAAUGUUACAGAAGAUUAAGAAUUUCCAAAACCAUAAAUAUACACACUCCUAAAGGUUUUGUAGCCUAUUUCUGUGAACUGGGACAUUCCAACUAACCCCAUUUUCAUUUUCGGGUUGCUAUAAAAUAGUGCCCCAAAAUAAAACAUUCCCAUAAAUCUUGCCUUACUUUCCCAAAACCAAAAUACAUGUACUCCGACUCUUAUUUGCAAGUCAACCACACAAAUGCUCACAUGAUCAAUCAACAAACCAACUUACAGCCCCAAAAAUGGCCAGAAAACAACUCAAUUUACCUGUCCUAUAGUAAGCCCUUAACAUGAACUGAAUAGUCCCAAAAAUGCAAUUCAAUUCAAUUCAAUUUGUUUAUCUUAUGGUAAACUAUUAACAUGAAUCAAACAGGCCCCAGAAACUUAAUAUACUAUAGUAAGCCAUUAAUAUUUUUUUUUUUUUGAUAGAUAAACACACAGAAAUAUAUUAUAAAGGGGCAAAAAGGCGACCCAGAGUAUACAGGGAGUAUACAAGCAUCACCUACAAAAAAAAACCAGAAACUAAAAGGACAAACCCUUACCAGCCCUCAACAAGAACCCACCCAGUCCACAAAAUUAAACAAGGAAAAGGGGCCUUGAACUAUGGAAGAAUUAGCCCAAGAUAAGAGAUUACACAUGAAGGAAUUUUUCAAUCUUUGAAUUGAUAGGACUUCAUUUUCAAAAACUAUCCUAUUUCUUUCCUUCCAAACCGUCCAAAAUAAGCAAAGAGGAGCUGCCCUCCAAACCUUGCUACGCUUCUUAUCCUUUAAGGGAGCAAGCCAACCUAAAAGAGUGUCUCUAACUGAAAAAGGGAUAACCCAAUUAACACCAAAUAAGGAGAACAAGAGAUCCCACAAGACCUUUGCCUUAGGACAGUGAAUAAGGAUGUAAUUUAUCGUCUCUUCUUCAUCACAACACAAGGGGCACCUGUUAGCUAAUUUCCAGCCCCUCCUCUUUAGUUGGUCUUGAGUGAGCACCUUCCCCCAAGAGGCUUCCCAAGCAAAAAAGCCCACCUUGGAAGGAACAAACGAACUCCAAAUAAUUCUCCAAGGAAACGGGACUGCACUGCUGUGGUCAAGAGAGUUGAAACAGGAUUUUACAGAGAAUAUCCCAUCCUUCGUCUCCUUCCACACCAUCCUAUCCUCCAAAUCAGCAUUCAGCCUUUUUCCUUGAAUGAUCAGAAGGAAACUCUCCACCUCCUCCACCUCCCAAUCAUUGAAAGGUCUAAGGAAGCGGGGAUUCCACCCACCCACUUCCCCUAUUGAGUCCCAACAGUCCGCAACCUUCGCGUCUUUAGAAACCGCUAAAUCAAACAAGGAGGGGUAAGCCAUUAAUAUAGCUCAACUAGGACCCGAAAAUUCAAUUCAAUAUAAUUCCACAGUAAGCUAUAAAAUCCAAUCAUGAUUAGAACAAUAGCAAUAAGGAAACAAUGUAGGUCAAUAAAAGAAACCAAUGAAAACUAAUAAUAUCAAUAUCACCUGUGCUGAUCAUUGAUUUCAAUGUUCUUAACUUCCUUGGCUCUAGUAAAAAAAUCUGUAAAGAUCAAAGAAAGCCAACAUCAACCCACAAAAUGGAAAAAGAAUAAAAAUAAAACCACACCAUUCAUCCACCUUCAAAGAAAAAAAAAUACUCACUACGAUUGAUAUAGUGGCGAUUAGAAUCUAAAGAGGUCCCACAACUGCACAGAAAAUUCCGCAAUAUGGGCCUUGGAGCGAAAAAAAGGGCUCCAUUUUCUGGGAAUUUACAGUAAGAGCUGGGUUGUUGAAGGUUGUGGUUGAAGGAUGGAGAGGAAUGUAGGAACUGGGAGAAAGUGAGGAGGCGAGAGAGGGGGAAAUGGGAGUAGUGGUGGCGCGUGAGGAGAGCUGGAGAUGGGCUAGGCGUGAAUCGAAGAAGGCAAGAGCCUAUCUUCUUGUUGAUGCUUCUCUGCAUGCUCCUUGCUACUCCACCUCCAUGGAAGCCCUCGUUUCAGAGAUUUCAGGGUUUUGAGCUUUUUGGUUUUGUGAGUUGGAAGGGUUUUUGGAGAAAUGGGAGGAGAGGGGUUUCUGGAAUUGGAACAUGCUUUCUGAUGUGUUUUUCCACUUUUGGGUAAAAAUAAAAAUAAUAAAAUAAAUAAAUUUAUUAUUAUUAUUAUUAUAUUAUGACUCUAUAUGUUCAAGUCAAAAUUUAUUUUAUGAUACAAUUUAUUUUAUAAAAUUGAAAAUAUUUAUAUUAUAGAUAAAAUAAAUAUUAUAUAAAAAAUUAUUUGAGAAAAAAGGUAAAAAAGAUGGUAUUUAUGUUGAGGAAAAACUUUCCCAAUUUUAAAUUUUAGGUUUUUUCAUAUAAUAAUUAUAGAAAAAUACUUCAUUAUCUAAAAUACUUCAAAGGUUGGCUUCUCUUGCUACUUAUGUUUUUAUUAUUUAAACAAUGAUUUUUCUUCAAAAAAAAAAAAAAACCUACUCUUAAACAUUAUUUUAAACAAUAAAUAUUGUAUAUAAAUAAAAUAAAUAUUGCACAAACAAUAUAGUAUAUAAGAAUAUUAUAGUUAAAAAUAACUAUAGUACUUUUGUUUUUUUGGAUAAAUAUGUAUACAACAUAUUCAUUAUACUAAUUGUAUUUUUAUCAUAAUAUUAUAAAUCGAUACCAAUUUUAACUUAGUUUUAUGUUUUUUGGUUGUGAAUGAGAAAUUUGCCGGAAAGGAAAUUAAAUUUAUUAGGCAUGACCUAAAAGCAAAGAAUAAAAUCCAUUUUAUCCCCUCAACCUUUUGUGUCUCUUACACUUUGUCCCACAUUCAAAAUCCAACGCACUUCAAACUUCUUAAUGGGUAGCACUCAACUUUUUUUUUGGAUAAUUUUUAUUUUCAUUAAAUGGAUGUGCUCCACACGUGAUGUGAUAAGAGGGUAAAAAUGUCAUUUAAAAGAUAUCCAUGGCCCUAAAAUCUAUUCCUUCAUUUUUCUUUUUCUGAAACCUUGAAAUCCUCAAGUCUAAAAAAACACACCUCCUCUAAUCAAUCUUCCUAUUAUGCUGAGACAAUGAGUCUAGUACAUUAUAUGUUGGCAAUUUUGUUUCAAUAUAUUCUAACUCAUGAAAGUUUUUAAAUAGUGAAUUACUCUUCAUUGAAGAUUCAAGGUUGUUGUUGGUUAAACCAUAAAGUUACAGGUAAGUUUAAAAAUGUUUAUUUAGUGGCAAGUUAAAUGAUUAAAGGGUUAAAGUGGAUUAGUAUUUUUUUCAUAAGCUAAAAAUACUUGAAUUAAUGUUUUGGAAAAAACAAGAGACACUUGAGCGGUGGAACCAACACUCAAGUGCUUAUCUAACACUCAAGCUCACAAGGCAUUCGAGCGAUGGUUAAGUGCAUUCAAGUGGUUGUCCCAAAACUGCUAGAAUAUGGUAGAUUUCUUUUUGAAAUUUUAUAAGUAUUAUUUUUUGGAAAUUCUAUAUAUCGAUCCCUUAGGCCUAUAGGCCUAUAUAAACCCUCUAUUAACCCUUUUUAGGGUUAGACACCUUGAAAGAGUUGACCAACUUAACCUAUCAUUCCUAAUCUCUCAAGAAAAAAUUCAUAAUAUUGAAUUUCGGGUUGUUGUAAGAACUUGCAUCCCCUAAGAGGUUGAGAAGAAUCUACUAGAGCAUUAGAGGUGUUAUGUCGCGGAUGUGGAUCAAGGUAUAGGUGCUAGAGAAUAAGUUUUUAAGGUAAAAUGGUCAAGUAAAUCUGUGUACUUUGAUAUGAAAUAGUGGAUUGUAUAUUAAAGGUCUUAGACCUCAUGGUUUUUAUUUCCACAGUUAGUGUUAGGUUUUUCCACAUAAAAAAUUAUUAUGUCUCUUGUUUGAUAUUUGAUUACUUUGAUUAUCCCUAAUAUCUUCAAGUUUUAUUUUGGGAUAAUUUUUCAUCACUUAUAUUGUAUUAUUUAAAAACACCUAUUCCCUCAUCUCCCCUCUCAGGUGUUAUCCUAAUAGACAAAAGGUUUUUUCAAUUGGUAUAAGAGCAAGCUUUUCUAAAUAAAAAUCAUAUUUUUAUUGAUCUUGCAAGUCUAAUAUGGAACAACCAAGGUCUGAAGCUCCCCUAAAUAGUCCACUCUAUUUCGAUGGGAGUAAUUAUCCCAACUAAAAGGCCCGAAUGAUUUUUUGAAAAUGCAAGGAGAAAAGGUCUAGAAUGCAACGAAAUAUGGAUGAAGACUUCAUUGAAACUAUAUGUGAAUGGGAAAUCUACUUAUGAAUUAAAACCCAAAAAAGAAUGGCAUAAAUUAGAUAAUGAAGAAAGUGAUGCCAAUGCUCGGGUUCUCUUUAGCAUAUUCAAUAGGGUAAGUCCUAAUGAGUUUUGCAAGAUAGCCACAAGAUGCUAAAAAAGCCUAGGACAUUCUCCAGGUUACUCAUGAAGGCACUUUAGUUGUGAGGUUGGCUAAAUUGCAAAUGUUAACCUUCAGGUUUGAAAGCAUUAAAAUGCAAGAGGAUAAAACUUUCUUUGCAUUCUAUGCUGAAUUAAGCGACAUUUUGAACUUCUUUUUUUAACUUAAGAGAACAAAUCCCUGACUUUAAAGUAAGUAGAAAAAUCUUGAGAUUUCUUCCUGAAAGGUUUAAACCUAAGGUCACCACAAUAGAGGAAAACAAGGAUAUUUACUCCAUGAGGGUUGAUGAACUUGUUGGUUUUUUUCAAAUCUAUGAAAUGACCUUUCUAAACUCUCACAAGCCAAAAGAGUCUACUUUUAAGGAUAAUGAAAUUGAAGAAAAAGAGUCUGAAAAUCAUAAUGAGAUAACUAGGGAUGAACUAGCGUUCAUGGCUAAACGUAUUAAAUGGGUUUGAAACUUAACAAUAGACCUAAUAAGAACAAGCACUUGGGAAAGGAAAAAAGAUUUGGUAGGUCUUCUAAAGAAAAAGAUAAGGAAAUUACGAAAGAGAAAAAAGGUAAAGUGUUUUAAUUAUGGAGGUUUGGAACAUUUUUCUAUUGACUAUGUCCUAGUCUCAAUGACAUUAAAAAAAAUUGUGCAAGCUACAUGGAGCGACACUUACUCUGGUGAGAGUGACUCUAUGACUUCUGAAGAUGCAAGGUAUGAGCAAAAUGAUUAUUUAAAUUUUAUUGCAUCUGUUGAUUCUAAGCAUGAUACUAAUAGUCAUGAGAGUGAGUAUACUAAUGAAUAGAAUGCUAGUUUUCUUAGAAAUAUUUCCAUUGAAUAUCAAAAACUGAUUGAACAAUAUUUGAAGACUCAUAAUAUUCUUAACUCAUAAAAAGCUAAAAUUGAAUAUUUUUAGUGAAAAAAGACUAAUUAUCUUGCGAAAAUUUGAUUCAUUGAGUUUGAAUAUCAUUCUCUUCUUGAGAAAAACAAUAUUCUAACUUAAAAAAUUGAGACUAAAAAACCAUCAAUAAGGCUUUUCACCUUGGGACUAGUGUUGGAUGAAAUUCUUGAGAAAUGCAAGUCCCAAGGAGAUAAGAAAGGCCUCGACUAUAUUAGCAAAACCAAGACUUCCACAGGUGGAGGCAUAGUAUUAGUUAAAAGUAAGGAGGAAACUCCUAACCAAGAAACAUCUUCUAGCACUCUCUCACUAUUCACACACUGUAAGAAGUCUGAAUAUACUCAAAGUAGGUGUCACACUAGAUUUCUUGAGAGCAAUGAGUCUCAAUUGAAUAGGCUUGUGAAUGAGUUUAAAUCUCUAAAGAAUAAUAUUUUGAACACCAUGAGAGGGAAGAAAACCAAUACAGAGCUUAAGACUCAACAAAGCUCCUCCGAGUCACCACCUAAAACAAGUGUGGAUGAGAAAAGAUAGGCUUAAGUGUUAGAUUGUUUUCACAGCCCUUAGAGCUAAAGCCCUUAGUGAAGCUCUAGGCAUAUGACAGAUGAUAAGUCUUUGGUCACCUCUCUUGAGGAUUUUAAUGGAGGAAAAAUCACCUUUAGGGAUGGUAGUGUAGCCCAUGUGAAAGGUAAAAGUAGUAUCUCUAUCCCCAUAUGCCUAGAUUUAGAUGGAGUCCUUUAUGCUAAUGAACUUAAGGGUAAUCUUCUUAGCAUUAGCCAAAUUUAUGACAGUGACUAUAGGGUAAACUUCUUUUAAAGUUUGUGCGAAGUGAUAAACAAGGAAGGAGAAGUCAUUUUCAUUAUGCUUAGAACAGUGGAUAAUUGUUAUGCAAUAAAUUCUAGUUCUAAAACCUCUUUGGUUUGUAGUAGGGCUAAGCUUGAUAUCAUUGAGUCAUGGCAUAGGAGGCUAGAUCACAUAAACUAUAGACACUUGGUCCACAUAACUAACAAAGACCCAGUUAGACGUAUCCCUAAGUUGAGUAGUCAACCUAAAUCUAUUUGUGGAGAGUGCCUAAAAGGUAAAUAAGUAAGAAACUCACUAAAAAAUAUUCAAGGGAAUAACACUUCUAGGCCUUUAAGCCUUCUUCACAUGGAUCUCAUGGACCUUAUAUGAAAAUGGAGAGUAAAGGAUGUCGUUGAUUUUUCCAGGUAUUCCUUUGUAAGUUUUCUAAAGGACAAAUCUGAAACAUUGAGCACUUGAAGUCCUUGUGCACUAGAAUUCAGGUGGAAAUAGGUAAUCCUAUUGUUAGGAUUAGGAGUGAUAGUGGGAGAGAGUUUGACAAUGUAGAAGUUGAUCUCUUUAUGAAUUAAAGGAGAUUAAACAUAAUAUUUUGCCUUUAGAACUCCUCAACAAAAUGGAGUGGUAGAAAGGAAGAACCGUGUUCUUUAAGAAAUGACCUGAGUAAUGAUUAACAUGCAUGAUACUUCUAUGUAGUUUUGGACUGAAAUAAUUAACAUGACUUGUUAUACUGCCAAUAGGGUUUUCCUUAGGCAUGGAAAAAAGAAAACAUCCUAUAAAUUGUGGAUUGGAACAAAGAAAACAUCAUAUGAAUUAUGGAUUGGCAGUGAGUGCUAUAUUCUCAAGGAUAGAGAAAACCAAGAUAAAUUUAAUUCUAAGUCUAAUUUGGGUAUUUUCCUAUGUUAUUCCAAUAAAAGUAAAACUUAUAAAGUUUAUAAUCAGAAUACUAAAGUUAUCCAAGAAUCUUCAAAUGUAGUCAUCAAUGAUUUUGGAUAGGACUAGGAAGUCAUUGACUUUGAAAGUUUAACCUAAAAAUCAAUUGGGAAUAACCUUGAAAAAGUUAACUUAGAUGAUAGUCUUAAAAGUAUCCUAAAGAGGUAAUUGACCCCAACAGGGAUGAAAAACCACUUGAAAUUGCUAAGUUGGGCAAAGAGGAAAGUAAACAUAAAUCUAGAGUGCCCAAAAAUUACCCUAUCUCAAAUGUAAUAGGAAACAUGGAUGAUUCCAUGGUUACAAGGAGACAAUCUAGACAAAAUGAGAUAGAUUUUUUUUUUUUUUUUUUGUUAUACCUCCUAAUUAGACCUAAAGAAUGUAGAGGAAGCCUUAGGAGAUAAAUCAUGGACUACUACACUAUAUGAAGAAUUAAAUCAAUUUGUUAGGAAGAAUGUGUGGUACUUAGUCCCUAGGCUUAAAGACAAACCUGUAAUAGGCACAAAAUGGAUAUUUAAGAAUAAACAAGAUGAAAAUGGGUUCAUUGUGAAGAACAAAGCUAGGCUAGUAGUCCAAGGAUAUUCCCAAAUUGAGGGGAUUGAUUUUGAGGAAACUUUUGCACCUUUAACUAGGUUAGAAUCUAUUAAAAUCCUCCUAGAUAUUGCAUGCUCAUUGAGAAUGAAGCUUUUUCAAAUGGAUGUUAAAAGUGUCUUCCUAAAUGGGAUUCUUAGUGAAGAAAUCUAUGUUGAACAACCUAAGGGAUUUGUAGGUCCUAAACUUCCCAAUCAUGUUUAUAGGUUAAAUAAAACCCUUUUUGGAUUAAAACAAGCUCCUAGAGCUUGGCAUGAGAGGCUUACAACUUACCUUUUGGAAAAAGGGUUUGAGAGAAUGAAAGUUGAUAGAACUUUUUUUCAUUUAUAGGUCUAAGUCUAAAUUAUUAGUGGCUCAAAUUUAUGUUGAUGGUAUAGUUUUUAGAGUCACCCUUACCCUUAACUUUGUUGUGGAUAUGAAAAAAGAGUUCAAAAUGAAUUUGGUAGGUGAACUCAAUUUCUUUCAAAGACUACAAAUUAGACAACUCAAAUAUGAUAUCUUUCUAUCUUAGUCUAAAUAUGAUAGGAAGUUAGUAAAGAAAUUUGGACUUGAGUCCACUAAACACUUUAGGAUACCCAUGAGCACCACUACUAAGCUUUGUAAGAACACAUUUGGGAAGGAUGUUGAGAAAAAGCUUUAUAGGAGUAUGAUAGGAAGUUUGUUAUAUCUUACUGCAAGUUGUCAGGACAUCUCCUUUAGUGUGGGAGUUUGUGCUAGGUACUAAGAAAAUUCCAAAAAGUCACACUUAACUUUUGUCAAAAGAAUCAUUCAUUACAUUAGUGGGACCUUAGAUUAUGGGUUAUGAUGUCCUUAUGCUUCCUCUUGUGUUAUUAUUGGAUAUUUCGAUAUUGAUUGGGUUGAAAAUGUAGAGGAUAGAAAAAACACUUUUGCGGCUUACUUCUUUAUUGGGGAUUGUUUAGUCACUUGGCUAAGUAGAAACAAAAUUUAAUUUCUUUGUCCACCGUACAAACGAAAUAUAUGGUCAUAGGAAAUUGUUGUACCUAACUUCUUUGGAUGAAACAGAUGCUCAGUGAGUAUGACAUUGAGUAGGGCACUAUGAGUCUCCAUUGUGACAAUCUAGUGCUAUUAACAUUUCAAAAAUUUUUGUUCUUCAUUCUUGAACUAAAAAUAUAGACAUCUGUCAUCAUUCUAUUAAGGAUUUAGUUGAAGAUAAAGUCAUUUCUCUAGAGUUUGUCUCAAUGAAACAUCAAUUGGUAGAUAUUUUCACUAAACGCUUGGAUUCUCUUAGGUUUGAAUUCCUUAAGAAGUCCUUGGGUAUAUGACUAAUUGACUAAAAGUCAAAAGGGUAUAAACCUAAGGAUUUGUGUUUUUUUAUCUAUCUUAUUUCUUUUAGUCAAUCCCAUCUUCCUCUUAGAGCACUGGUCUUAUACCCUUUUUCAUUUGCCUUAUUAGUAAGAAUUUCAAUCUCUCAAGUUUUAAGUCUAAGUGAAAUAUACUAAACCUACAAGGGUUGAUUUUAUUUUCCCUAGAAUUUUUAUAAUUACUUUUGAGGUAAAGAAUCAAGGUAUAUAAAAAUCUUUGUAUAGUGGGAUAUCUAAAGAGAAAUAAUUGGCAAGUGAUCCAUGAGGAAUCUUCUUAAGUUUAACUAAUAAAAUAGAAUUUGUUUUUUUCUUUGGAAAUAAUAUCAUGCCUAAUUCUUUUUCAUUCACUUGCCUUGUUUGUCUAAGUUCUAUAUUAUUUUUUCCCAAAACGUCUUAAGGCAUUCUUGGAUUCUUAGUUAAAAUAAACUAAAAUAUUAUUUCCAAGAUUCUUUCCAAGUUUAUAUACUUUCACUUGCAACAUUUGGAAACACCCUCCUAAGUGGAAUAAGAAAACCAUAGUGAAAGUAUGAUUUCCAUAAAUGGUGUACAAUGCCUCCAUUUCUCGGAAAAAAAUAAAAUAAAAAAAUCAUGUUAUGAUUAAGGGGGAGUCAAAGUUAUGUUAUAUGUAGAUCAACGAAUGCCGUGUCAAAUAGUCUGAUGAACUUAACACAAAUUGACUGAAUGUGAAUUUAUUGGAUCACGACAUGACUUAGUGACUUUUAGAAAUUCAAAUUUGAAAUAUGAAAUUAGAUAGUAAGUUGUUUUCCCCUGAAAAUCAAUGCCAUUGAAUUCUCUUAGAUUCUUAUAUAUUUUGAUUGUUAUUCAUCUGAUUUCCAAACUAAGAUUAUGAUUAACCUUGUUCUUUAGAUUUGAAAAUAUCAAUCUUGUUUGGUUGAACUAUGUUUUUUGGGCAUUCUAUUUGUUUUAUUACUUUUCUUUCUAAUUUUGCAAGUUAUUUUAUUUGAAUCUUGCCUUAAGUUGAAUGUUUGACCUAUUUCUAAGGUUUUUACAUGUCUCUAUGUUGUUAGUUGGUUUCUUAAUUUGUUUUGUUUUGUUAGUUCACUUUUAGCGUUCAUAAUCCUUCUAGAGUUUUUCACAUAGUCUCGAGCGUUUAUCCUAAUGCUCAAGCAUUGGCUUCAUCGCUUAAGCGCUCAAGUGCCCUAAGUUUUUUCUAGUGUCACUUCAUGUGGUUGUAUCACUCAAGUACUCCUUAAGUUACAUCCAACGCUUGACAUAGAUAUGAUCGAGAAGAAAAACAUCGGUAGGCAGAGAUAUAUCGGUAGAUUCAAUACUUGGAUUUUAAGAAUAAUAAAUAUGAAUUUUGGAAGCGCAUAAAGUUAGAAUUGAGUUAAGAAAUAUUUGAUUUUAUUAAAUAAAAACAUAUUAUGCAUAAAUAUAAUACAUAUGACAUUGCAAUAGUCCUUAGUACCAAAAUAAAGAUCAAUGUGGUUCCAUCAUAUUGUUAGAUGAAAGGAGCCUAUCUUGUUGAAGACAAUAUUUAUUUAAAAAAAAUUAAAUAUUUUUAUUAAAACAUGUUUUAUUACAUUUUAAAUGAAAAAUUAAAUUAAUUUAUAUAAAAUAUUUUAUUUGAGAUUUAAUUUCUAAAAUUUUAUUAAAAAUAUGUGAUAACAACUUUUUCUAUUAACAUUAAUUUAUUUAAAUAAUUAAAAUUAUUAAUAAUUUAUCUUAUCAAAUUAAUUUUAAUUUAUAAAAUAUUAGAACUUUCUUAAUUUUUUAUAUUAUAGCAAUUUUUUGGGUAAAAUUAUAUUUUUAAUAUUUUAAAAUAAAAACAUUUAAAAUUUAAAUAAAAUUGAAAGGAUAAAUGUAAAAAAAUAAUAAUAAUAGUGAAGUGAUAAUAAUUUUUAAAAAUAAGAUUAAUGAGAUAAAUAUGAAAAAUGUUAAAAAUAAAAGGAUAAUAUAAAAUAAAAUGAUAAUAUAAAAACAUGGUUGAAAUUUGGACCAUCUCAAAAAUUCAAAUCUAAUAAUUUUAAAAAAAAAACCCCAAAAAAAUCCCCGAUUUUUCGAAGAAUUUUUUCCGUUCUCCCUCAUAUCGCUCCACUUGCGAUUUUAUCGCCGAUUUAUCAGUUCCAGACCGAUAUAUCGCCGAUAUUUUGACAAUUUGCACAAUAUUUUUUUUUAUAUUCCUCUUGUUCAAUAAUUAGUGCUCAAAAUCGUUUCGGGGCCAUCCGAUAUUCGAUAUAUCGGCGAAAUAUCGCCGAUAAAAACCAACAUUUUAAUUCAUGCUCUUAGCACACCUUUUUGAAUCUAUUUCACUUCUUUAGUUCAUUUGAGCACUUUGGGUUGCUGCUUUUUGGCUUCUAGUGAUCUGUUCAGGGCUUGUUUCAUCUUUUCAUCUUCAUAGUAUUGUUUAAGACUGCUUUCUAAGCAUUUCUAAUGGUUUAGUUUCCUCAUAUAUUUUUCUCGAUUUUCGAGCUUUUUUACUUUUAGUUUUUGUAUGAUAUGACGUUGUUGUCUUAGGGAGGUGUCUUCUCCGAAGCCUUACUCUCACGAAGUUGUUCAGGGCAUCCCUAUCUAGGGUCUUUUCGACUUGAAUAAUCUUCCAUUGGAGCAUUUUCACUCUAAGGAGGCUCAAGAUAGAUACUACUCUGUUCUUCGGAGUCAUCGAGUCAAGGUAGAGCUAUCCAUUGAUCUUAGAGCCUUUAAGGACACCUCUUUCUUGGUUUCUUCCAUGUUAGGGGCUUGGAAACUCUUAUGACUAUUUGAGAGACCUCGUAUCCUCAUUACAUUCAGAUAUUCAAUUCAAACAUCCAUUCAAUAGUUUGUGGUCUCAUAUUUAGUGUCACCAUGUAUGGCUAGACCUUCAUGGUCUCUACUUGAUCUAUCAGGUGUGUUAUGGGCAUGUUUUUUCUUAGUAAUCAGCUAGCUUUUAGUCUUCUUUCCGGAGGUUUAAGCACUCACUAGAGGUGAGCUUGCCUCUAUUCCUAUUACUUUGUAUGACGAGUCCUAUCCGUUGUCGACUUACGUUUCCAUUGCUAACUUCACCAAGUUAGCUUGGGUCCUCGCUAUGUUUAUGUCUUAUUCCUUCUACUCCUCCUUCCAUCGUACUCAGAUUCGUCACCUUGUGGCUUGUUUUAUUCAUACCAUUCUCUUUGGGUAGUAGUUCGACAUUGCCUAGGUGAUCCUUGACAUGAUGACAUCAUACCGCGAUCCCACCAUCCGCAGUGGAGCUCCCCUAUUCACCCUUCUUAUUACUAUGAUUCUAGAGCACAUCAGUUUCAAUUUCGACCUUGCUUUGGUAGCUUGGGUGUCUCGUACUCUCAUUAAUGCGAGUUCUUGGGUCAAGCACUAUAGCCAUGUGUACGGUUGAUAAUCCCUCUGGCCUCAGCUCAAUCAAUCUCCAUUCCUCUAACUUCAAUGUCAUAAGAGGUGGCUCAAGAGACCGCAAUAGAGAAGGAGGAGAUUAGGCCAACGGAGUAAGAUUCUCCCAUUUUAAAGGUGGUUUCAAGAUGGGGAAUAGGGCCCUUGUUUUCACCCGUCUCUAAUUUUGGAUCUUUAACAUUUGUUGACCUCAACCCUAAUUAUUUCUUCCAAUCUAUGCCCCAUUACAAGCAUUUUUUGUUAUCUCCUUAUCCCCACUUUAUGGUGGGCUUAGUCCAGCACAAAUAGGUUGGUGAGUUAGUUAAGGUUUGUCUUAGAGGCCUAAAUGGACCAGACAUGAGCCUAGUUUUUUAUAACACCUACUAGUGGUGGGCCUUUGCUCUUCUAUUGUAAGCUCCAAGGCUUCAUUGACAUAACAAAUGAUUAGGCAAAACCAUUUUAUAUUUUUUAUUGUUAGCUCUUAUAUUUUUACUUUUAACCAUAAGUAAGGAGAAAGGGGCUAGUUUCCUUGGCCUAAAAAACCCUUGUAUUCAAGCUUAUGAUCUAGGCUAGGGUUUCAAAAUUGGGCCUUCUAGCCAAGAAGAAUUUGGGCUCAGGGCGUUAGAUAAAUCAUAAUUAAUGUAUGAUUUUUGAUUUAUUUCUUUUAAGCAAGUUCAAAAUCAUUGAAUGUGAUAGAAAUUUAUUAGACCUGUGUGGAUUAAUAGAAAAUGUUAGGAAAAAUAAAAGUGAGGAAAUGAAUUUAAAUUUUUAAAUUGGAUUUUUCAUGAAAAAUGUGAAGAAAAAUAAUAAAAUAUAAUAAAAAAUACCAUAAAAUUUUUCAAUUUUCAAAGUUUUCGUUCCUUUUAUAAAAGAAAUAAAUAAAUUUGGAGAUUUGUUUUAUAACUCUAAAUGUGAAAAGGGAAUAGAGGUGUUGAAAUGGUAAUCAAUAAAAACCUACAAAAUUUUCAAUAAAGUAAUUUACAAAAUAAGAAUAAAAAUAUAAAAAAAAUUACAAAAUAUUGGUAGUUGGAUUUUAUGAAAAUAUUGAAAAAUAUUAUAUAAAAAUUCCUAAAAAAAUUUGAUGCAAUCAAAAUUGGCCAAAACCCAUAACAAGAAAGGAAAACCUACCUUUUUCUUUUCAAUCCUAAACUUCAAAUACUCAAAUUCAAUUUUCAUACAAAAUUAAACUAAAUAUAUUUUUAGAAAUUUUAAAUAACUCUUGUUUUAGAAACUAGUUAAACUACCUUCAUGUAGUAUAAUUUAAAUUAAAAAAAAUGAAUUUACCAUAAAUUAAUGAAAUUAUCAUUCUCAAAAAUUUAAUAUGACUAAAAUAAAUUUUGUUUUUUUCUAUUUUUUCUCUUCUUUUUCAAGAAAAUUUAGAUCUAAAACUUUCCCAUGAAAUGAUAACUCAUAAACCACACCAACAAUAUAAAAGUGAAAUCAGUAUAUAUAAAAUAAAUCCGCAAAUUUCAAAAUCAUAAAACCAAAAUUCUAUCAUAUUUAAUUCUAGUAGAAAAAAUGCAAUUUAUGGCGCUUGAUUCCUUGGCGCCUCUAAAAAGUGUCAAGGAAUUGGGUCAACCUUGGCGCUUGUAGAAUAUUUAUAAACCGAGGCGCUUCUAAAUAUAUAUGAUUCAAUGACGCUUUUUAAGUUGAUGCUUUUGGAAGUGUCAUGGUUGGAAAUGGAAAGUAACCUUGGCACUUUUAUAAGUGUCAUUGAAAUGGAGUUCAGACAUUGGCACUUACAUUAAGCGUUAUUGAAUUUACUAGUAUAUAUUUCUUUCUUUUUCCUCAUCCUAACACAUUACACUCUCAUCCCAACCCUUGGAGCCCUAAGCCAGGACAAUCACCCACAUCUUCAACCACCACCAGCACUAAUCGAUGAGAAAAUGUUACGAACAUGUUGAAGGUACUCUCAUUUCAUUUCUUUUUGGUUUGUUUGCUUACCUAGAAAAUGCGAGAAAAAACCAUAAAUUAGGUUUAAAUUUUUUGAAUCUAAAAUCUUGAAAUUUUUUGGAUCCAAAAUCUUGCAUUGGUUGAUUAGAUUGUUUCAGUUAUAUAUAACCUUCCGAUUUUUAUGUUUGAUUGAGAAAAACGUGAGAGGGAUUUGAAAAAUGCAGAGACCCUAUUUUCCUAAACCCUAACUCUUUAAACAAUCCAUUAUUGAGGUUUUCUCCAUUGCAAGGAACCUCGGGGUGCACUUGUUUUAUCCAUUAUCAGCUUAUAGAAUUGACUGCAUUUUUUCUUGGUUUCUCGAUCCACUUUACUUAACACCUCUAGUGUUGCUCCUGGAAGGGGCAAUCAGUGUAUAGAAUGAUGCCAGUUGUUUAAAUAUGUUUCACUUGUCCAAUAAAUGGUUGAAUUUUUGUUUAAGGUUUGGAGUAACACCAUUGAGUCCAUUAUGCAGACAAUUUUUAUUUCAGAAUUUCUUAAUUUUCUGAAAUGUUUUAUGUGCAGUGUCUGGGUUGCACGCAGACCACCAGGCUAUGCUUUUAUCGACUUUGAUGACCGUAUGUUUUAAAGAUUUUCUUAUAAUGGUGUUUAUUGUUCUUGAAUUUUCUCUAUGCUUGAACCCCAUGCCAACAACCAUUUCAUCUCCUUUCUCUAAUUUCUGGACAAGUUUGUCUUCCUCUUCACCUCAAUAAUUAUUAUUAAUUUUCAUUGCUAUUCAGGGUUGGAGACCUAAUAAUAAGAAAGAAUAUUCUGUUCUGUGUUGGGUUUUGGGGAUUUUUGGGUUUCAUGUUGUUGUGUUUCGAUCGUGUUGAUGUUUUUGUUUGUAUGAUGAGAGGGAUGCUAGAUAAUGACCAGGUACACCAGGUCCAAAGUAAUGGGUUAUAUCCCAUUGGUCACUGCCCUGUGUGAAGGGAUAUCUGAGUAAAAGAAAUUUAUCUCUUAAUGACUUCAUCAACUGAGUUCAAACAUAAUUUAGUUUUUCUAUUGGCGUAAUUAUGUCGUUAAUUGAACUCACUUUAUGGGACAUCUCACCAUCUCACACAAAAGCCCCCCAAAAUACAGAAGAAAAGAGAUCAGUGCAAGGGGCACGUGAUUCCUUAAAACUACAAGAUGCAUAUCUAGAUUGGUAGUUAUUAUUAUUAUUAAUUUUUGAUAAGCAAAAGAGCAAUAGAAUGGGUAUGAAUUGGAAUUUGCGCUAGCUUUGAUUGCUUUUUUUUUUUUUAUAGUGAAAAAGACUUGUAAUUUUUUUUCCCUUUAAGAUUAUUGGCUACCAAAUUAAAAAUUAUUGAAUUUGCAUUUACCAAACUUGGUAUUAGAUAAGAAUUGCAUAACAAAGUUUUCUCUUAUGUUAAAAUAAUUGUUUUUCAAACUAUGGAAUUGCAUAUAUAUGAGUAAACUGAUUGUACACUUAGAGUGAUCAGAUGGAAAGAUGACGGUUAUAAGUUCCUCAUUACCUAUUUCUUCCAACUUAGCUUAAAUAUAUUAUUUUACUCUUUCUAGUGUGAUUCUGUAUUCUGAUUGUCUUCUAAGCCUCUAUACAACAACUUAAUUAGAAUAUUUUCCAUAUUUUGAAGUAUCUUUUAUUUGAUAAUUCAACUUAUGUUUAUCCUUUAAGUUUCUUUCCCUUUGUCAUCCUCUAAUUUUUCCUUGUUGUCUUCGGCCACUUGAAUUCUUGAUAUAAAUCUUUGGGAGUUUUUUUUUUGCAUAAUGAUAGUUAAAAAAAAUAUUAAUUGAAUUUAUUUUAUUUUAUUUUAAAGAACUAGAUGAUUUUAAUAUUUAAAAAAUCAAAUUUAAAAAAUAAUAAUUUUAUUGUUUAAAAAAAUUAGUGAUUUUAAUAUUUAAAAGUUAUUUAUGAAUAUCUUAUCAACUUGAAAAGGUAAUUUGUAAACUGUUUGAAAAUUAAGACAAUAUUUUUCUAUUAUGGAGAUUAAUUUGAUUUAAUUGUAAAACGAUCAAAUUUUAAAUUUAUAAUUUUAGCAAUUAUUGAUUUUAAUAUUUAAAGGUCAUUUAUGACUAUCUUAUCAAACUUGGAAAUGUAAUUAGGAGAGCGUUUGAAAACUAAGAUAAUAUUUUUCCAUUUAUGAAGAUUAAUUUGAUUUGAUAUUUAAAAUUUUAAAAUAAAAUUUUAAAAAUAUAAUUUUAUCGUUUAAUUAGUUUGUUUUUAUAUUUAAAAAUGUAAUUUUAGCUUUUAAAAAAAUUAGUGAUUUCAAUAUUUAAAAGUCAUUUACAACUACCUUAUCAACUCGAAAAGGUAAUUUGGGAAGUGUUUAAAAAGUAAGACAAUAUUUUUUUAUUUAUGGAGAUUUCUUUGAUUUUAUAUUAAAUAAAUCAAAAUUUUAAAAUUUAAUUUUAUUGUUUGAAACUUUUAGUGAUUUAAUUUUAAAUUUAAAAGUCAUUCAUGACUACCUUAUCAACUUGAAAAGGUAAUUUGGAGAUUGGUUGGAAAGUUAGAUAAUAUUUUUCUAUUUAUGGAGAUUAAUUAAUUUGAUUUGACAUUAAUUUUAAACUUUCCUUUUAAUAUAAAAUUUUAAUAGCUUCUAAGUAAAAGGUCAUAUAAGUCUUUAUACUUUAUUUUUUAAAGAAGUUUCCCCUUUAGGAAUUAUAUUAACUACAAUAUAGUAAAUUAAAACUUGUCUAAUACACUAACAGGCAUAUGAAAAUCAAACCAAAUUUUGAUACUAAUCUUGACUUGGUUGUUUUCAUUUGUGCUCUUGUAGAUCUUAGAUUAGUUUAAUUUCUUAAAUUUGGCAUAUUGGAUUAAGAUAUAUACCAUAAGUUUGGCAUAUAUUUUUUUACUCAUUUUAUAUCUUUUUUUUCAAUGAAAUAAUUUAGAUAAAAUGUGUAAUUCCACCUAUUUACCUAAAAACUAGAUGUUGAUGCAUGUAUACACUAUCAUUUAUUUUUUAAUAAAUAUAAUUAACUUUAUUUAUUUUUCAUUGUCAGGAUUGCAAGGUUUUGUCAUAUGUUGACAAGGUUUGUGGGUUUGUAAAAUAUAGUCUAGAUUAUGUGUUAAGAACAAGAAACCAAUUAUACCAAUUUUAUUAUUUAUUUCUCAAGUUAGUCUACCAAUGUAGGUUUAGAGUACGUCACUUAACAAAAGCUAUCCAAAUUCGUGAGCAUACCAUAUUUAUGUGGAGUUUGUCGUAGAUUUAUAAUAAGUUAAAAGAAACUUUAUUGUCUUUUCAAUGCCUUCUUCAACCUUGCGCACUCCACCUUAUACAAAGAAAAGAAAGAGGAUAGGUCAUUUCUAAUUUUUGUUUUUUAAGUGGACCUUCAUUUAAAGUAUUUGAGGUCUCUUUCAAUAUUAAAUGUAUAUAUUAUUUUAUUACUAAAAGUUACUCUAGAUGGUUGAGUGACUACACAACUAAUCCUAAUUUGAAAAUAUAAAAGUUUUGAGUAUUCUUUAUGUGGGUUCAUAAAUGUGUUCUCCUUCCCUCCUUAUUACGUUUCUAUUUUUUUUCUUUUUUCUUUUAUAAAAAAAACAAGAGAUCCAACUUUCAAUGUUUUUUAAUAAUAUAUCUUCAUUAUUAUUGAAUGGAAUGAGAUGUAGUGAUUAGACAAAGUGGUCUUCUAUUGUUGAUACAGGAAAACAAGUUAUCAUUUUAUAUGACAAUUAGGAGUAGAAGGUAAUGAUUGUGACAACUAGGAGUAGAGGGCAAGAUGCACAUAAGACAUUGUUUUUAAAGGCAAGUAUCUCCUCUAUUUAUAAAGGUAAUCCACCACUACACUAGAAACUUCUCUCUUAAAGAUAGAAUAGCUUGAAAGGAUGACUAAAUAGAAGAUAAAAUUUUAUUUCUAUUACUUUACAAAUUAAUUAUUUACUUUUAUAAUUGCAUAGGAGUUAUAUGUUAUCCUAAACAAGACAAUGAUACAUUUCAUGGUUUUAUUGAAAUAAAAUAUAAAAAGAUGUUUAUUUUCAUAUCCUUGGAUUCUUAUCAUACACUUACCUAAUGAUUUAUAUUUUCAAAAACUUUGAACAAGCACCUCUUAUCAACUCAAUAAAAUUAAAAGUCAAAGGAACUAAAAUAAAAGUAAAAACUAAUCAAGUAAAUAAAAAAUAAAAAUAUAAGAAAUUAAAAAAGAAAUUAAUAUUAACAUAGUGAUAGUAAGAUGGUUUCCAUCUUAUUUGGACCUUGGUAUUAUUUUUAACUGUGCAUAGUAGGUCUUAUGUUAUUCUUUUAUUUGAUAAUGUUUAAAGAGUUCUUUAUUAAAAGUCCAUAAGGAGCUGCCCCAACUCCUAUGCUUUAUUAAUUAGCUUUGAGGUUUGCAUUUGUUAAUAUUGAAAGAAACUAUGUGUUUCUUUCUUAUGAAGUAGGCAACUAUUAUCAUUGUAAUUCUUAAAAUUGAUGCUUUUGAUGUUACUUGUUGGGAACAUGCAAGUAAGUCUGCUAGUUGAAUAUUCAUGUUGAUCCACUAAGGGCAUAUUUGAGUGCAUUUUUUUCUUCUAUUAUUUUUCUUUCAUGAACUUUAUAUCAAUAAAAUCAACAUCGGAAUAAACAAGAGUUCAAGUUCAUUGCAUUGCUUUUCAAAUAUAUAACUUAAUUCAUUCAUCUUUCAUUUGCUUCAAUUUUUGAUUGACUGCCAUUUUUAUUUUUAUUAAUAAGUUUGAACUCGAUAAUGAAUCAAUUUUCAAAUCUCAUGUAUGAUUGUUUGAACAUUCAUCAGCCAGUAUAUGAUUAUGUAAAUUUUGUUGAAUUUUAAAUUUCAUCAUCCGGUUAGAUUUGGUUAAAACUCUUCAUAAUAUACAUUAGUUUUUCUUGUAAAUUAUUUUGAAUUCAUUUUCUUAUAAUUUUCUCAUUUUCUUGUAGUGGCUAUUUUGUGAAAAAUUAAAUUUGUCAAUGUUUAUUUUUAUUUUAUUUAAUUAACCUCUUUUGAUUUAUGUUACUCUAAUGUUAUUGAUAACCUCUUUGAAGCAAAAGCCUAAUGAAGAAGACUUUGACAGGGAUGAUGCCAAUGACAAGGUAAAUGAAGAUUUUUUUUUUUCACUAUCAACAUAGUAUAAAUCAUUUUAAAAUGGAUCUUUUCAAUAAUUAAGGAAACUAAGACAUAUUCAUGUGGUUGUUUACUUAAUGAUUGAGAUAAUUAUCUUACUUAGUAGCAGUAUUUUUUAACACUAAUAAUUUAUUUACUCUAGUAAAACUUUUUACCUUUGACCCAAUAAGAAGAAUAUUAGCAUGUUUGUUUUAUUGCUUUACUUGAACAAAAGCUAAUUAACGUGUUGGAUUAUUUUCUAUUCUCAUAUCCUCUUUGUUUCAAUUAUAUUGGUUGUUAUAUGUAUAAAUUUAAAGUUUUAUAUUUUUUUUUAUUUACAGCUUGCAAAGGAAAUUGGCUUACAAGAAGAAGAGAAAUCAUUACAAUAAAGCGAUGUUGGAAAUCAUGAAGAUGAUAUCAUUUAAAUCUUUAAGAGGUUGAACUAGACUUUUGUUGAUGAUGGUUUCUUUUUGUAGUUAUUGCACCAGUAUUUGUUCUUAUAUUGGAUUUAAAAAUUCUCAUUGAAAUAUUUUGAUCUAAUGAACAAAUUUAUAAUUUGUAUACAAGUAAUUAUACUAAUUAUUGAAACUAAGCCAUUAUAUAUUAAUAUUUGGAGAUAUUUUAAUUUGUACAAUUCAAUUUAAUUUUAUGAUUUUGCUUUUAUUUAAUUAUAUAGGAAAUUCAUUAUUUUAAAAACAUAAUACCAAUAUUAUUAUUAAAAUAAAAUGCUUAAAGAUGACGCUUCUAUUAAGUGUCAUUAUUAACAUAAACCAAAGAUGACGCUUUUAAAAUUGUCAUUGAAAAAUAAUCCAAAGAUGACGCCUUGUAUAAGCGUCAUUAUUGACUAAAACAUAUAAUGACAGGGGAGAAAAGGACGCUUUAGAGAAGUGUCAUCUUAUGCUUUUCUUGACGCUUAAAAAACGUCAUUAAUUCCCUUUUUUCUUGUAGCUACUAUUUUAAACUUAAAUUUCAAGGUUUUUAAUAAAAUUUUACCUCAAUGAAAUAGUGAUUUAAUUUUUUUUUUUACUUUAAUAAAAAAGUUGUUUUUUCCUCGGUUAUCUUUUCCAUCUUCAACUUUAUUAUAAUACUCAAAUCUAAUUUUUUUUAUACAAAAUUAAACUAAACUUAUUUUUGAAAAUUUUAGAUCACUCUUGUAUAAAAAAACUACUUAAACUACUUUAAUAUUAUAUAACUUGAAUAAAAAAAUGAAUUUAUCAUAAAUUAACAAAGAUAUAAUAAAAAUAAAUAAAUAUGACUUAAAUAAAUUUUAUUUUUAUUGAUAUUUUUUGACAAAACCAUAACCUUUCAAUAGCCUGAUUGUGUUGGACCAAGCCCACCUUAAAGUGGGCGUGUAACAGUAAGGAGAUAAUAAGAAAUAUCUGCUACUCAACCAAUAGGGAGAGAUGGUGCCAACUUAUAUUGUGUUUUCCAUUGUACUGGAUUAUUGGUCUUUGACACUACUUUGAAAGUUUAUUUUGGGUGUUUUUUAGUCCUUUUUAGAGUGUAGGAUCAAUAAAAAAAAAAAAUUGCAUGAAUUGAAUCUUUGUUGUGCUCUUAAUUCAUGCAAGAGAAUGACAUCUUGUGGGAUGAGAAUUCUUUGAUCCCUAAAUUUUUUAUAUCACAAGCAACCAACAAACAAAUUCCAUACACCAAUGUUUUAAAAACGUGACCAGCCAAUCAAAUUAGUUGGCUCUACUCGGUUUGGAUACGAUCUUGACGAUUGGUAAACUAGUGGAACCAACUAGGUUUGGAACCGGUCUUGAUUUUUUUCCAUUUAGGUUAGACAAAAAUUUUGGAAAAAAUCAAUAAGUGGAGAUGAUGUUGAAAUUUUAAUAAAAUUUAUCAUUUAUAUUUAUGUUCAACUAUUUUUCGUUAUAAUAUAGUUAUAGAAUGUAGUUGCAAACUAGAAGAAUAUACUUGGAGGAAUGGUGUAUGCUUUAGUGGAUGGUGUCUCAAACUCAAUUCCCAUGGAUAGACGAGUAAGAGUCAGAGACACAACAAAUGGAAUUGGCAUUAAAACGGGUUGUGAAUUAUUGAGAAAUAACUAGUCUCAUGAUGGACAAAGGAAAGAUUGUGCUAAGAAGAAAUGGGGUUUUGUUGCAGUUCUGUGUAGGUUGAUGAGUUCUUCGGUCUAACAUGUGUGAUUUUCUCACUUUUGAAACUUCAUUUUUGGUUUUGAUCCAUUUUAGAGAAGAUAUGUGACACAAUCCAAAAUGGGGUUACAUUGUCUCUUGCUUUUGGCUGUUGUUAUCAUUUGUUGCCUUCAUAUGGUAGAAUAAUGUUUGUUAACUAAAACUUCUAUGACCAAGUUUGAAUUUGAUACAUGGAUGGAGCUGAUUUGUUUAAAUAUUCAUGUUUUGGUGAAUACAAGUCAUUUUAAUUGAGCAAAAAAUACAUAUAAUGUAGAAGAUGGAUAAAAUUAAGUUAAAUACUUACAUAAAAUUAAGAUUUUAAGACUCUUCAAUUUAAUAAAAGUUUUGUUGUACUAAGGAUUAUGGGUUAUGCAUUCAAUUUUGGGUAGAAGGAAAAUACUAUCCAAACAAGGCCUACAUAUAAUCUAAAGCAUUCUCAUCCUUAGGAAGCCUAGGGAAUGGAUUAGAUUAAAUAAGUUAGCUCAAAAGUGAUGUAAAAUGUGGGUAUGUUGUAUAAAAACACACAUAUUUUCUUCUUGUUUUUCACCAUUCAAAAAGUUAUGAUCUGCUUAAUUUGAUUGAAAAAAAAAACCAUACUACUUUUCUUUUCCCAAUUAUAAAUUUUAGCCACUUUUUGUCAAAAUUAACCAGAAUUCUGUAUACACCAAAAAGGGAGAAAAAGGUCAUAGAUUUAGGUUAAUAAAGAAAUAUAGUUGGGACAAAUAAUUAAAAUAUCUUACAUUGGUCGAUCAUCAUAUCGUACUCAAAUUUAAUAAGUUAGUGGAGACAUAACUAAUAAAUAUAUUUUCAAAGAGAAUUUGAAAAUUUGAAAUUGGGAAUUUCUUCUAUUCAUUUUUAAUAAUUUUUAGGGGCUACUAUAAAUUUUAUCCACAAAAGGAUAACGUACUCUUUUUUUAGUAGUUAAACAAGCUAUAACCUUUGAGAAUCACUAUUGAUCUUAAUAAAGGUCCUUUUUAUAUUAAGAAAUUUCUCUUUGAAUAAAUUAAAAGAGAAAUUUUGUCUUUUAUUGCAACUGUAAUGACAUUCACUUUCAAAGCUUGUAAUUAUACAUAGAGCAUAUAAAGAUCUACAAACAAAAUUUAUUACCUUCGCAGGUGAUCUUUGGCAUAGGUUGCUAUUCCUCUCAACAACCAUUUGACAAUUUUAUCCACAAAAUCAAAGUAGGUCUCACUCCAAGAUUUCCUUGUUGCCAAAACAAAAUAUGGAACUAAAAUACCCAUCGCAAAUCCCAAGCCAACACUCAAGUAAAACCAUUGAUCAAUAUAGCCACCAUCAUUUUUGUCCUCAAUAACACUACACUUUUUAUCUAGAUCUUCAUCUUGGCAUUUUGUGACCAAUGGAGCUCCACAAAGAUUAGGGUUUCCAACAAAGGCCGACUCAUUGAAGGUUGUCAUUUGCCCUAUAAAGGGGAUCUUACCAGAGAAAUUAUUAUUCGAUAGAUUCAAAUAACUCAAGAAUGUUAAUGAAACCAUGCUUGAAGGAAUGCUGCCGGAAAGCUUAUUCCUUGACAAAUCAAGAGAUAAUAACUGGUGCAACAUUGAAAUGCUUUCAGGAAUUUGGCCACUGAUGUGAUUCCCAGACAAGUUCAAAACCACCAAACCAAACAAUUUUGUUAUUUCUUGGGGAAGCUCUCCACUUAAAUUAUUGUCGGAUAGGUCUAUGCCUACAACCAAAGAAAGAGUCCUGGUGUAUGCAAGACUUUGACCUUUCAUAAUCACCACCAAUCGUUCUUCAUACUGAGAGUUUCUCACAUUGUCAUACAAAGGAUAUAUAUUCUUGUUAUACUCCGGAACCAUGGCUUUAAGCUCAAACAAAGUGACUGGAAUUUCACCCAUCAGAUUGUUUUGUGCAAGGUCUAAGACAUGUAGGGAGCUUAAAUUUGAAAGCUGGGAGGGAAGUCUUCCAAAAAAUACAUUUGACCUCAAGUUGAGUAUUACAAGAUUUAUGAAAGCAGUUCCAAUCCAUGAAGGAACCUUACCCGAUAACUGGUUAUAACUGAGAUCAAGGAGUUCCAAUCUUGAUAAAUUUUGGAAAGAUGAGUGGAGCUCUCCUGAAAGCUUGUUGUCGUUCAGAUGCAAUGAUUCGAGCCAUUGUAACUGGCCCAACGACUUUGGUAGCAUCCCAGAUAAAUUGUUAUUUCCAAGGUCAAGAACAAUUAGGCUAGAGCAAUUACCUAUGGUAUAAGGAAUGCUUCCAGUCAAAUUAUUCCUUGAAAAAUCAAUGAUUUGAAGAGAGGUGAUUUGUCCUAUGGAAUCUGGGAUGGUCCCUGUUAUUUGAUUUUCCGAAAGGAAAAGGUAAUUCAAGUCUAACAUAGAUUCACCUCUGCUCAGUGGGAUAGGGCCAAAAAAUUUAUUGUGUGAGAGAUCUAGUAAAUAGACCCCUUUGAUUGAAAAAGGAAUAAGUCCCUCAAAGAGGUUGGAACUGAAAUCAAUCUCUGAUUCACCAUAAAAAUUUAAUGAAUUUGGUAGCUGACCUUGUAACUGAUUGUUGGAAAGAUUCAACAGUUGUAGAUUAAAAGAAAUAUUCCAAAACCACUUGGGUAUGGAACCUGAGAUGCUAGCAUUUGACAAAUCCAGAAAGGAGACCUUCUUUUGAGAUCUAAGCCAAGUUGGGAAUGAAGGGCCUAAAUUGCAUGAAGCCAUACUCAGAAAAGUGAUUUGGAAUGGGGGGACCCAGGUGGAACUAACAUUCAAAACGAGACCUGAAUUUCCACCUAUCCACAGAAACUUCAGCUUACUCAACUUUGAAAAAUGUUCUUCAGAAAGAAUUCCUGUCAAGGUAUUAAGAGUAUUAAAAUAAUUUCAUUUAUUUAUUUAUUUUAUGAAAAAUAAGAAAUUUCAAGAGAAAUGAAUUUUCAGAAAAUGUAUAAUAAAUCAAAUGAGUGGAAAAAAGAUAAUUUAAAAUAUUUUUUAAAAACAAGUGUUUACAUGGAAUCAAUAUAUACACGAUUACCAGAAGAAAAUUUUAAUGAAUUUGGUAGCUGACCUUGUAACUGAUUGUCAGAAAGACUUAAUUCCCGCAGAUUGAAAGAAAUAUUCCAAAACCACUUGGGUAUGGAACCUGAGAUGCUAGCAUUAAAUAAAUACAGAUAGGAGACCUCCUUUUGAGACCUAAGCCAAGUCGGGAAUGAAGGGCCUAAAUUGAAUGAAGCCAUCGCCAGAUCAGUGAGUUGGAAUGGGGGGACCCAGGUGGAACUAACAUUCAAAACGAGACCUGAAUUUCCACCCAUCCACAGAGUCUUCAACUUACUUAACUUUGAAAAAUGUUCUUCAGAAAGAAUUCCAGUCAAGCGAUUCCCAUAAACUUCCAAUACAACCACUUCAGAAAGUUGUCCAAAACUAACUGGGAGACUCCCAUUCAGUUCAUUCCAUACAAGCCGCAUCUCAUUCAGAUUUUUGAAUGUCCCAAAAGAAGCAGGGAUAGGGCCUUGAAGCUUGUUCCUGGAUAGAUCCAAAUAUGUAAGUUUUUCCAGCUGACUCAACCGUUCUGGCAAUCAGCCCACUAAUUGAUUCGAGGACAAGUCCAAAUACCCCAGUUCUGGUAAAGGACCUUCAGAACUGCAGUUUUUGAUCUCUUCGAGAAACUCAGAGAAACUUCCUGCAAUCAUCAUCAAGAGUAUUAAAAUAAUUUGUUUUUAAUAAAUUGUUUUAUGAAAAAUAAGAAAGUUCACGAGAAAGGUAAGAAACUUUGCCGUCUUAAUGCAUUAUCAAAUGAACGGAGAAAAGAUAAUUUAAAAUAUUUUUAGAAACAAGUGUCUACAUGGAAUAAAUUGAGAAUAUUGUUUUUAGAAAUUAAAAUUUCCAAAUAAAAUUUUGUUUCAAAAUAUAAUAUAAUAUUUGUAAAAAUUAUUAUAAAAAAACUCAAAAUUUGAUUUUGAAAAAAUAUUUUAAAAAGGUUUACAAGAAACAAAAUACAUUAUAAUAUUUGUAAAAUUAUUAUAAAAAACUCAAAAAAUGAUUUUAGAAAACUAUUUUAAAAUUUGUUUACAACCAAAACCUAGAUUUUGUAGUGUAAUCUUUCAAAUACAUCAAAAGCCCUAAAAAGUCCCCUUUAUUGGUCAAUUGUGAAUUGAAUUUAUGACAAAUCAUGCAUCAUCAAGAGUAAAAAAUAAUUUAAUUUAAAAUAAUUUUCAAAAAAAAAAGAGAGAGUUUAUGAGAAAACAAUUUGAUGAGUGGUGAGAAGAUAAUUGAAGUUGCUUUGAUGGUUUAAUGAUAAAAGUAAGAGAUUAUUAGAAAGUCAGAAUAAUUUAAUGCAAAAUAUUUUUUAAAAACAAGUGUUAAACUGUAGAACCACUACAUUAUUUUGAUGUAUCAAAAUCAAUAAGCAAUAAUAAUUUUUCUAAGCCAAAAACGUACCAAGAAAUUUAUUUUUUGCCAAAUUCAGAAAUUCUAUCUUCUUCCAGCUNNNNNNNNNNNNNNNNNNNNNNNNNNNNNNNNNNNNNNNNNNNNNNNNNNNNNNNNNNNNNNNNNNNNNNNNNNNNNNNNNNNNNNNNNNNNNNNNNNNNUGUUUUUAAUAAAUUGUUUUAUGAAAAAUAAGAAAGUUCACGAGAAAGGUAAGAAACUUUGCCUUCUUAAUGCAUUAUCAAAUGAACGGAGAAAAGAUAAUUUAAAAUAUUUUUAGAAACAAGCGUCUGCAUGGAAUAAAUUGAGAAUAUUGUUUUUAGAAAUUAAAGUUUCCAAACAAAAUUUUGUUUCAAAAUAUAAUAUAAUAUUUGUAAAAAUUAUUAUAAAAAAACUCAAAAUUUGAUUUUGAAAAAAUAUUUUAAAAAGGUUUACAAGAAACAAAAUACAUUAUAAUAUUUGUAAAAUUAUUAUAAAAAACUCAAAAAAUGAUUUUAGAAAACUAUUUUAAAAUUUGUUUACAACCAAAACCUAGAUUUUGUAGUGUAAUCUUUCAAAUACAUCAAAAGCCCUAAAAAGUCCCCUUUAUUGGUCAAUUGUGAAUUGAAUUUAUGACAAAUCAUGCAUCAUCAAGAGUAAAAAAUAAUUUAAUUUAAAAUAAUUUUCAAAAAAAAAAGAGAGAGUUUAUGAGAAAACAAUUUGAUGAGUGGUGAGAAGAUAAUUGAAGUUGCUUUGAUGGUUUAAUGAUAAAAGUAAGAGAUUAUUAGAAAGUCAGAAUAAUUUAAUGCAAAAUAUUUUUUAAAAACAAGUGUUAAACUGUAGAACCACUACAUUAUUUUGAUGUAUCAAAAUCAAUAAGCAAUAAUAAUUUUUCUAAGCCAAAAACGUACCAAGAAAUUUAUUUUUUGCCAAAUUCAGAAAUUCUAUCUUCUUCCAGCUUCCGCUUAACAGUUGAGAGCAACUACCUGUGAGAUUUCUGUUCCAAGAUAGAUCCAAGUGCUGCAAGUUAGGUAGUUCCCCAAGGCCAAGUGAAAUUUGCCCAUAUAACUCACUAGAGCUUACAUCAAUGUAUACAAGGCUGCUAAUGUUUAGAAGCCAUAUUGGGAACUUUGACCGAAAAGAGUUGCCACUGAUGCUUAUGACAGACAAUGAAGUAAAAUUGAUAGAGUUUAGAGAUGAAAUUGAACCAGAGAGCCCACACUGUUGUAGGUGCAACUCUGUUAAAAAUGAAAGCUUGUUGAAUACCUCCAUCCAGUGAGAUCCUACCAUUGAUAGGUUGACAUAGUUCAACUUGAGAUGCCUUAAGGAAACAAGAUUAGUCAUCCAUUCAAGGUUCUUAACAAAUAACUGAGAUUCAAUGGAAGAAAGAUCAAGAAAUUGCAAAUUAGAAAGGUUUCCCAAGGUUGGAGGAAUUGCACCUCUGAAUCCACAAUUUGAUAAGUUCAGAUAUUGUAAACUUUUCAAAGAUCCGAAGAAUUUA